This 75-nucleotide transfer RNA is filed under the name Aminipila terrae. RNAcentral's name for it is "Aminipila sp. CBA3637 tRNA-Ala". It matches the Rfam family "tRNA". From Rfam's summary of the family: Transfer RNA (tRNA) molecules are approximately 80 nucleotides in length. The record is from RNAcentral. Lineage: Bacteria; Bacillati; Bacillota; Clostridia; Peptostreptococcales; Anaerovoracaceae.
GGGGAAUUAGCUCAGCUGGGAGAGCACCUGCCUUGCACGCAGGGGUCAAGGGUUCGAUCCCCUUAUUCUCCACCA